Molecule: long non-coding RNA, 2079 nt
Organism: Canis lupus familiaris (dog)
Lineage: Eukaryota; Metazoa; Chordata; Mammalia; Carnivora; Canidae
Exons: 3
Source: RefSeq, a predicted model, not a curated record
CUCGAUCCCGGGUCUCCAGGACCAGGCCCUGGGCCAAAGGCAGAGCUAAACCGCUGAACCACCCGGGCUGCCAACAACCCUUUUUUUCUCUUGAAAAAUACUGUGGGCAGUUAUUCCCAUGUUGCAGAUGUUCAAACUGAAGUUUAUAGAGAAGAAAGUUCACCGUGUGAAUUUCUGACUCUUUCUGAUGCAAAUGACAGAAAACUUGACUCAAACUGGUUUAUGCUAAAAAUAGAAUUUGCUGGCUCAGAAAACUGAAAAAUCCAGGCAUGACUUGAUCUGGAGACUCCAAAAUGUCAUAAAGACUGAAUCCCUCCACUCUGUCUUUGCCGUUUUGGUGCCACAUUUGGGCUCCAUGAGUGGUCUUCAAAGAGCAGCUCCAGGUUCAUAUCAUCCUGAGGCCUAGUUCUGUAUAAAAGAGGGUCUUGGAUGGGUACCUGGGGGGCUCAGUGUUUGGGCAUCUACCUUCAGCUCCAGGUGUGAUCCUGGGGUCCUGGGAUCAAGUCCUACGUCGGGUUCCCCGCAGAGACCCUGCUUCUCCCUCUGCCUGUGUCUCUGCCUCCCUCUCUGUCUCUCUCAUGAAUACAUAAAUAAAAAUCUUUAAAAAAAAUAAAUAAAUAAAUAAAUAAAUAAAAGAAAGAAAAAAGAGGGUCUUGGUAAUUGCAACACAAGUCUCGGGAUUUACUCUAUUACACAGGGAGGGUCAUGUGACCACCUCACAAAAGGCACAACCAGGGAAGCUAUGGCACUGAUUGGCGGCCUGGUCACGUGCAGCCUCGCCUGUACCAAGGGGCUGAAAAGGCAGGAGGGAGGACUCUUUCUCCCAAGGAGGAACAGAAAAGAUGGGGGAAUGGGUGCUAGCAGCUAACUCGACCCGUGUCUUGCAGGUCAUAGGUGGCGUGGUUGAGAAGAGUUGGGGCAGGGAGUGAGCCUUGGCAGUCGGACUGCAGAACCCUAAUUCCUCUACACCUCGCCUGCAGGUUCCAGCCCAGUAGAGAAAGCCCGGAUGUGGAAGAGAUGGAAACGAGGCUCAGAGAGGCUGACCCACAGCCACCUAAUGAGUGUUAGAAAUGUAAUGAGAAGCCAUCCAGGUUUUGAAUCUGUUGCCCCACAAGUGUCUACUAAGCACUCAACUGCAUGCCAGAGUCUGAGCUACGUCCAAGAGAUAUGGCAGUGAGGAAGAUGAGAAAAUUGAAACUCAGAGAGGAGACUCGUCUUGUCUGAGGUCACACAGCAAGGGAUUGGCUGAAGUGGGAUUGGAACCGAGGUAUACUAGAUGUCUGAAUUGUUUAACCAAGGCCACACACACCUGACCCCCAUGCCACCUGUUCACGGGUAGAGAGGGAAGAUGGGGGUCAUUCCACCUGCCAAGCUUGAGCCUGCUCAGAUCCUGCCUCAUGCACCCCCAGGAUCCUUUUCUGGUGGUUCUGAGGGGAUAGAAGCUCUGAGAGGAGCCAGCAUUUGCUCAACCCAGGAAUCUGACAGCCACCACUUCCUCGAUGGGGUGAAGCCCAGACCUACAGAACACCCAUCGCAGGUGCUCCCCUUAUGAGUGGGCCAGGUCUAUGAUGCUUGGUGGCAGUCAUGGCCACCAAGUCAUCCCUCCUCAUUUUAUAUGGGCCCAAGCCCGCCAUGGCAGCUGUCCCCCUCUUUCCCACCCACCGCUUGUCCCCAGUUGGCUCUGCAUCCCUCCCACUGGGCCUCCCUUGCCUAUCCUACCUUCACAAGGGGUAAGGCCCAGGGCUGUGCUAACUAACCACUAGCCCCCUGUGUUUGUUGAGCACUUGAAAUGUGAUUAGUGCUGCUGACGAACUGAAUUUUAAAUUUUAUUUAAUUCUAAUCAAAUUACAUUUAAAUUUUAAAAUUGAUAAUGUAGCAGGGAUGCCUGGCUGCCUCAGUUGAUAGAGCAUGUGACUCUUGAUCUCAGGUUUGUAAGCUUGAGCCCACAAUGGGAGUAGAGUUUACUUAAAAAUAAAAUGUUUUUAAAAACAUUUUUUAAAAUGUUUUUAAAAAUUGAUAAUGUAGGGCAGCCCGGGUGGCUCAGAAGUUUAGCACCACCUUUGGGCCAGGUUGUGAUUC